Molecule: ribosomal RNA, 326 nt
Filed under: uncultured eukaryote
Lineage: Eukaryota
Description: partial 18S ribosomal RNA
Rfam family: Eukaryotic small subunit ribosomal RNA
Source: RNAcentral
CCCUUAGAUGUUCUGGGCUGCACGCGUGCUACACUGAUAUUGCCAAUAUGUCAUUCUUAUCCGAAAUGGAUUGGGUAAUCAAGUAAUGAAAUUUCAUGCUUGGAAUCGGUAAUUGCAAUUUUAUCGUGAACGAGGAAUUCCUAGUAAGUCCCAGUCAACAGCUGGUACUGAUUACGUCCCUGCCCUUUGUACACACCGCCCGUCGCUACUACUGAUUGGACGUUUAAGCAAGAUUUUUAAACACUGACAGUGUGUAGUUCACGCUAUACUACAGUGAGAAGAAGAAGAUCGAGCUUACUUGUCUAGAGGAAGUAAAAGUCGUAACA